RNAcentral lists this ribosomal RNA (575 nucleotides) under Actinomycetota bacterium. Its description in RNAcentral is "partial 23S ribosomal RNA". It matches the Rfam family "Bacterial large subunit ribosomal RNA", at positions 2353 to 2925 of the family's 2925-position model. The record is from RNAcentral. Lineage: Bacteria; Bacillati; Actinomycetota.
AAGUGCACAAGGGAGCUUGACUGUGAGACAGACAUGUCGAGCAGGGACGAAAGUCGGGACUAGUGAUCCGGCACCACCUGGUGGAAGGGGUGUCGCUCAACGGAUAAAAGGUACCCCGGGGAUAACAGGCUGAUCUUGCCCAAGAGUCCAUAUCGACGGCAUGGUUUGGCACCUCGAUGUCGGCUCGUCGCAUCCUGGGGCCGGAGUAGGUCCCAAGGGUUGGGCUGUUCGCCCAUUAAAGCGGCACGCGAGCUGGGUUUAGAACGUCGUGAGACAGUUCGGUCCCUAUCCGCCGCGCGCGCAGGAGACUUGAGGAAGGCUGUCCCUAGUACGAGAGGACCGGGACGGACGAACCUCUGGUGUGCCAGUUGUCCCGCCAGGGGCAUGGCUGGUUGGCUACGUUCGGAAGGGAUAACCGCUGAAGGCAUCUAAGCGGGAAGCCUGUUCCAAGAUGAGGUCUCCCACCCCCUUCGCGGGGUUAAGGCCCCCAACAGACCAUUGGGUUGAUAGGCCAGAGAUGGAAGCACAGCAAUGUGUGGAGUUGACUGGUACUAAUAGGCCGAGGGCUUCACCAC